Long non-coding RNA from Culex pipiens pallens (northern house mosquito), 961 nucleotides. RefSeq lists it as uncharacterized. The transcript has 5 exons. NCBI's taxonomy places the organism in Eukaryota, Metazoa, Arthropoda, Insecta, Diptera, Culicidae. The record is from RefSeq and is a predicted model, not a curated record.
UUUUCAAAGCCGUGCCGUGGUCAGUCACGUUUCACUGUGCGCACUGGAAGGUCGUGUUGUCGCGUGUGUUUUCUUCUAAAAAACAAAAAUUCACCGUUCUUUCGUCGUUCGUUCGUGUGUAAAUCCUUGAUUGUUUGUUUCUGCCGGCGGUGCAUCAUCGAUCGUCGUCCUUUUUUUUCGGUGUUGCUGCAAGGAAGAAGACACACACACACAAACGUAAAGUUUGAAAACAGAUAAAAAGAAGGAGGAAAAGGAAUACAAAGCCGUGGUGCCGCCGCGUGUGUAUACGUGUAUUUGUGUUGUUUUUUGAGCUACCGGAGAUUUUUGUGAAGGUUAUCAACACGCGCGGUCGGCCUCUCAAUCCCUCUCUCUCUCUCUCUCUCGCGCCAGCAUCCAAAACGUCAACAAACUUGCCAGACCGUCAUCAUCAUCAUUGAAGGGGUGAGAGUGUAUUGGUUUUGUUGUCGGAAGCUGUGUGUGACGACGAAGAAGCAGAAGAGCCCAUCCAAGUAGCCCGAAAACAAGUUUUUUUUUUCGCAAGUGCGUCGGCAAGGUAGUGUUGGUGCAAGUGCAUUUAUUAUCUCUUUCAUAAAAGGAAGCAAAACGGGUGCAAAAUAAAGGGUGCGAUUGUGUGAGUGUGAGUAAUUGAAAAAGGGUAAUUUUUACGCUAAAAUCACUGCAGGAGAUUUGCCUUGACCGCGUAAACAAAGGAGCUUGAGAUUGAGAGAAAGAACGGGAGAGAGUAACCGGAAGAACGUGACACCGAAACCUGAAAGGUGAGUCUACAUUUCCACGUGCCACCCCACCAAGGAUGAACGCAAAUUAACCCAAAACUAGAUCAACCCGCUUAAAUUUGCCGUUGCCUUCAGAGACAAGUGUCCAAACCUCGGCCGAGCCGUGCAUGCGGACCUUCUUGCAGUUGCACUAGAGCAGUGCAUCUAGAGUGGUAAGUUUGGAAUGA